This 109-nucleotide ribosomal RNA is filed under the name Esox lucius (northern pike). The record is from RNAcentral. Lineage: Eukaryota; Metazoa; Chordata; Actinopteri; Esociformes; Esocidae.
GCUUACGGCCACACCUCCCUGAGCACGCUCGAUCUCGGAAGCUAAGCAGGGUCGGGCCCGGUUAGUACUUGGAUGGGAGACCGCCUGGGAAUACCAGGUGCUGUAAGCC